This 21-nucleotide non-coding RNA is filed under the name Arabidopsis thaliana (thale cress). The record is from RNAcentral. Lineage: Eukaryota; Viridiplantae; Streptophyta; Magnoliopsida; Brassicales; Brassicaceae.
UUUAGAGGUGACCAUUGGAGC